AGCAGCAACUGGUCUAUUGUAGA
RNAcentral lists this non-coding RNA (23 nucleotides) under Arabidopsis thaliana (thale cress). Lineage: Eukaryota; Viridiplantae; Streptophyta; Magnoliopsida; Brassicales; Brassicaceae. The record is from RNAcentral.